Molecule: ribosomal RNA, 364 nt
Filed under: uncultured Acidobacteriota bacterium
Lineage: Bacteria; Pseudomonadati; Acidobacteriota
Description: bacterial SSU rRNA
Rfam family: Bacterial small subunit ribosomal RNA
Source: RNAcentral
UCUUCUGUUGCCAUCGGGUUAUGCCGGGCACUCUGAAGAGACUGCCGGUGACAAACCGGAGGAAGGUGGGGAUGACGUCAAGUCAGCAUGGCCUUUAUGUCUGGGGCCACACACGUGCUACAAUGGCCGGUACGAACCGUCGCGAUCUCGCGAGAGGGAGCUAAUCGGAGAAAGCCGGUCUCAGUUCGGAUUGUAGCCUCUAUUCUCGGCUGCAUGAAGUUGGAAUCGCUAGUAAUCGCGGAUCAGCACGCCGCGGUGAAUACGUUCCCGGGCCUGGCUUCCACCCGUCACAUCACGAAAGCCGGCUGUACUUGACCCUCUCACUAACCCGCAAGGGGGGCAAGCGCCUAAGGUACGGUCGGUG